This 432-nucleotide ribosomal RNA is filed under the name uncultured bacterium. RNAcentral describes it as "partial 16S ribosomal RNA". It matches the Rfam family "Bacterial small subunit ribosomal RNA", at positions 29 to 507 of the family's 1533-position model. The record is from RNAcentral.
ACGAACGCUGGCGGCAUGCCUAACACCUGCAAGUCGAACGAGACCUUCGGGUCUAGUGGCGCACGGGUGCGUAACGCGUGGGAACCUGCCCUUAGGUUCGGAAUAACUCCCCGAAAGGGGUGCUAAUACCGGAUAAUGUCUUCGGACCAAAGAUUUAUCGCCUUUGGAUGGGCCCGCGUUGGAUUAGCUAGUUGGUAGGGUAAAAGCCUACCAAGGCGACGAUCCAUAGCUGGUCUGAGAGGAUGAUCAGCCACACUGGGACUGAGACACGGCCCAGACUCCUACGGGAGGCAGCAGUGGGGAAUAUUGGACAAUGGGCGAAAGCCAGAUCCAGCAAUGCCGCGUGAGUGAUGAAGGCCUUAGGGUUGUAAAGCUCUUUUACCCGGGAUGAUAAUGACAGUACCGGGAGAAUAAGCUCCGGCUAACUCCGUG